Molecule: ribosomal RNA, 466 nt
Filed under: uncultured bacterium
Lineage: Bacteria
Description: partial 16S ribosomal RNA
Rfam family: Bacterial small subunit ribosomal RNA
Source: RNAcentral
GAUGAACGCUGGCGGCGUGCUUAACACAUGCAAGUCGAACGAUGAAGCCCAGCUUGCUGGGUGGAUUAGUGGCGAACGGGUGAGUAACACGUGAGUAACCUGCCCUUAACUCUGGGAUAAGCCUGGGUAACUGGGUCUAAUACCGGAUAGGAGCGUCCACCGCAUGGUGGGUGUUGGAAAGAUUUAUCGGUUUUGGAUGGACUCGCGGCCUAUCAGCUUGUUGGUGAGGUAAUGGCUCACCAAGGCGACGACGGGUAGCCGGCCUGAGAGGGUGACCGGCCACACUGGGACUGAGACACGGCCCAGACUCCUACGGGAGGCAGCAGUGGGGAAUAUUGCACAAUGGGCGCAAGCCUGAUGCAGCGACGCCGCGUGAGGGAUGACGGCCUUCGGGUUGUAAACCUCUUUCAGUAGGGAAGAAGCGAAAGUGACGGUACCUGCAGAAGAAGCACCGGCUAACUACGUG